GGUUCGUCCAAGUGGAACACACCUGCUCACCUGCUAAAUGUGCCAGGUACCUUCCAACAUUGCAUUGAUUUCAUUUAAAGGUUGGUGGCUGAGAGCAGCACAUGUGUGCUGGCAUAUCUACUACAUGAGAUAUAGAGGGGAGGAGACUGAAUUAGUGGGAUUCCAUCAAGGCCCAAGCUCCUGAGUUGGCAGACGUGGAGUUAAAUCCCUAAAUCAACAGAAACCCAAGCCACAGCAGGUGGGAAGGGCUAUGGAAAUGAAGCAGAGAGUUUGCCUGAAGGCUCAUUCCAGAGUUUAUGUGGUAGAGCACUGUAAACUACCCAGCUGAUAAACAGAAGGGAAAGUAUUGAUGUUAUCAGGAAGGACACAAAUUCAGGGGCUUUGAAGAAAGUAGGGCUGAUAGCAAUGGCUAGUUUUCUCUUUGAGGUUUUUGCUUUGUUGUAUCCUAAAUAUAACCUUAGUUAUCUGCUUAUGUGGGGAGGAAAUUUAGGAUUCAGCUUUUUAGUAAUAAUGAUAAUUCAUAUGUCUGUAGUGCUUUAGGAUUUGCAAAGCACUUUCCCUUAUAAGAGCCCUUGGAGGCAAAUACUAAAAUUAUUCUUAUCACCAUUUUAGAAAUGCAGAUACCAAGGCUCACAGAUUAAAGGAUUGCCCAUCUCUAGUAAAGUUGGGGCCAGGAUUGAAAUCUGGAUCUCCUGUCUCCUAGUCCAGUGUUCUUUUGUCAGACCUCUCAUUUUUAAUCCCCCCAAAUAUCAACAGAUUAGCAAGCCCUCUGUCUUCCUCUUUUUCAACAGAUGCAGCAUAUAAAUGUAUUUGCAGCCUGCAGAGAUACAGCCCUAAAAAAAUCAUUGAUGUCAAAGGUUCUCAGCAAGUCCCAGGAUCUUAAAUUGUCUGACACACAUUUAGAGUCACCUGCAAUACAAGAAGUAAGAAAGAAGAAAAGACUUCAGAAGAAUGAGAUGACAGGAUCCAAACUAAAUGAAAUGGCUCUUCGUCCUUCAGAAAUUCCAGAUGUGAAUGCUCAGGUAGAAGGUGAAUCCAGACUUGUUCUUAGAGCAGAAACAAAGAAGAGCCCCAAAAGAGCUCUAACCCCCUCAAAGAUGGCCAAGGAAAUGAAUGGGGCCUUGGAGUCUGAUGGUUUGAAACCUGUAUAAUAGUGGCCGUCCAACUCUUGGUACUUAUUAGUGAUUGCAUCAGGAUUGCUCCUGUUGGCAAAUCAAUAAAGAAUAAUAUCACUGCUGUUCA
This 1242-nucleotide long non-coding RNA is filed under the name Vombatus ursinus (common wombat). Its description in RNAcentral is "lncRNA (ENSVURG00010003990.1)". Lineage: Eukaryota; Metazoa; Chordata; Mammalia; Diprotodontia; Vombatidae. The record is from RNAcentral.